CCUACGUGGGGCUGCAGUCGAGAAUCAUUCACAAUGGGGGAAACCCUGAUGGUGCGACGCCGCGUGGGGGAAUGAAGGUCUUCGGAUGGUAAACCCCUGUCAUGUGGGAGCAAAUUAAAAAGAUAGUACCACAAGAGGAAGAGACGGCUAACCCUGUGCCAGCAGCCGCGGUAAUAAAGAGGUCUCAAGCGUUGUUCGGAAUCACUGGGCGUAAAGCGUGCGUAGGCUGUGUCGUAAGUCGUGUGUGAAAGGCGCGGGCCCAACCCGCGGACGGCACAUGAUACUGCGAGACUAGAGUAAUGGAGGGGGAACCGGAAUUCUCGGUGUAGCAGUGAAAUGCGUAGAUAUCGAGAGGAACACUCGUGGCGAAGGCGGGUUCCUGGACAUUAACUGACGCUGAGGCACAAAGGCCAGGGGAGCGAAAGGGAUUAGAUACCCGUGUAGUC
Molecule: ribosomal RNA, 446 nt
Filed under: uncultured bacterium
Lineage: Bacteria
Description: partial 16S ribosomal RNA
Rfam family: Bacterial small subunit ribosomal RNA
Source: RNAcentral